RNAcentral lists this ribosomal RNA (272 nucleotides) under uncultured bacterium. RNAcentral describes it as "partial 16S ribosomal RNA". It matches the Rfam family "Bacterial small subunit ribosomal RNA", at positions 85 to 354 of the family's 1533-position model. The record is from RNAcentral.
CCGCCGGCGACCGGCGCACGGGUGAGUAACACGUAUGCAACCUGGCCGUGACAGAUGGAUAACCGGGAGAAAUCCCGCCUAAUACAACAUAAUGCCGGGAGGGGACAUCCCCUGCCGGCCAAAGGGGCGACCCCGGUCACGGAUGGGCAUGCGGCGCAUUAGGUAGUUGGUGGGGCAACGGCCCACCAAGCCGACGAUGCGUAGGGGUUCUGAGAGGAAGGUCCCCCACAUUGGUACUGAAACACGGACCAGACUCCUACGGGAGGCAGCAG